Molecule: small RNA, 840 nt
Filed under: Wardomycopsis inopinata
Lineage: Eukaryota; Fungi; Ascomycota; Sordariomycetes; Microascales; Microascaceae
Description: eukaryotic LSU rRNA
Rfam family: Eukaryotic large subunit ribosomal RNA
Source: RNAcentral
GCGGAGGAAAAGAAACCAACAGGGAUUGCCCCAGUAACGGCGAGUGAAGCGGCAACAGCUCAAAUUUGAAAUCUGGUCCCCCUGCGGGGCCCGAGUUGUAAUUUGAAGAGGAUGCUUUUGGCGAGGCGCCUUCCGAGUGCCCUGGAACGGGACGCCAUAGAGGGUGAGAGCCCCGUAUGGUUGGACGCCGAGCCUCUGUAAAGCUCCUUCGACGAGUCGAGUAGUUUGGGAAUGCUGCUCAAAAUGGGAGGUAAACCCCUUCUAAAGCUAAAUACUGGCCAGAGACCGAUAGCGCACAAGUAGAGUGAUCGAAAGAUGAAAAGCACUUUGAAAAGAGAGUUAAACAGCACGUGAAAUUGUUGAAAGGGAAGCGCUUGCGACCAGACUCGCGCCCGCCGGAUCAGCCGUCGCUCGUCGGCGGCGCACUCCGGCGGGUUCGGGCCAGCAUCGGUUCGCCUCGGGGGGAGAAAGGCGGCGGGAAUGUGGCUCUGCGGAGUGUUAUAGCCCGCCGUGCAAUACCCUCGGGCGGACCGAGGACCGCGCGUAUGCAAGGAUGCUGGCGUAAUGGUCGUCAGCGACCCGUCUUGAAACACGGACCAAGGAGUCGUCCUAGUAUGCGAGUGUUCGGGUGUCAAACCCCUGCGCGUAAUGAAAGUGAACGGAGGUGAGAGCUUCGGCGCAUCAUCGACCGAUCCUGAUGUUCUCGGAUGGAUUUGAGUAAGAGCAUACUGGGCCGGACCCGAAAGAAGGUGAACUAUGCCUGUAUAGGGUAAAGCCAGAGGAAACUCUGGUGGAGGCUCGCAGCGGUUCUGACGUGCAAAUCGAUCGUCAAAUAUGGGC